ACGUUCCCCCUCUUUGUGACGUCCUGCUAUUUGCCUCAAAUAUUUCAUUUACAUCAUUUCCGUUGCUCAUAUUGGUAAAUUUCUUUGAUUUGUCUUCUUUGUGAGCUGCUUCAAUAAUACUGUCGUGUAUCGUGGAUAUUUUUUACAUGUAGAAAACACUUUGUAUUUUCUCCGAACUUUCUUGAUGCUAGCAUGAGUGGUGAAAGUUGAUAUGUGGUGAUAUCAAGCGAUCAUAAGUUCAGUGGAGAUUAUGUUGAACUUGGCAAGUGUAGAUAUUACAAAGCAAGCAAUUAUUGAUCGCUUGUUGGAUGGAGUAAAGCAAACUAGUUUUAAAAUAUUUUGUCAGGUACGAUUUGGUAGUACAACCGAAUUGGCUUCUGAGAAGGAUAGCAGAAUCUCUUGUCUUUGUGAGCAAUGGAACAUUGUUCUUCAAUUUGGCAUUAAUUCCACAAAAGGAUAAAUUCUUUAAGGCAGGUGUUAAUGAGAUCUGAAGGUCAAUCUGUGUUCUGGCUAUUUAUCAAGGAACAUCUUAGCUCUAGUGAAAUAAAGACAUAUAAUUCUUUACAUAAUGUAAUGACAGAUGUUGGUAGAG
Molecule: long non-coding RNA, 592 nt
Organism: Xenia sp. Carnegie-2017
Lineage: Eukaryota; Metazoa; Cnidaria; Anthozoa; Malacalcyonacea; Xeniidae
Exons: 5
Source: RefSeq, a predicted model, not a curated record